UUGAAUAUAACCAAAUGAUUGUUUACAUAGGAAUUUAUACAGCUCAUACAACUAAUUCAUUUCUCGAUUAGUUGUAUUCAAGAAAUUCUAACUACUUCACUAACUGUCUUGGUGGCAGCUUCUAACUCCAGCUGCAGUUUGAUAUUUCUAACUGCCUUCUAACCACUAACUGAUUUUGCCGCCUCUUUCUUCAAUCUCCUACUUUAGCUAAUACAAAAUAUAAUCCUUCGUCCAAGCUGGACUUUCUCCCGACCUUCUUGAUUUCUCAAUAGCAUUCUUUCUCCUCUGUCUUUCCUUUCAUUAUUAAAUCUGUAUCAGUCCCAUCUUCUACUGUUAAAAAUCUGUAUCAAUAUUGUCCCCAUGAAAACGAACUUGGUCCUCCAAGUUCAGCUGUGGAAAUUUUUCCUGAAGAGACUGGAGGUCUUCCCAUGAACUUUCUUCCACGGGUAACCCUUCCCAUUGAACUAGUACUUGGGUUUUCAGUUGACCCACUUUAGUAAUAGUUCUACUGCUCAAUAAAUCCAUAGGUAUAGUAUUUGACUUGCAUUACCAUCUACAGGAAGAUUGUUGGCAUCAUUGGUGGUGGACGAACCAUAAAAUGGUUUUAGCAGAGAUACAUGAAACACAUGAUGAAUUUUACGACUUGAGGGAAGAUCUAAAUGAUAGGCAAUCUGUCCAAUUCUGUGUAAAACAGGAAAUGGACCAUAAAAUUUUUGAUAGAGUUUUG
RNAcentral lists this long non-coding RNA (727 nucleotides) under Actinidia chinensis (golden kiwifruit). RNAcentral's name for it is "long non-coding RNA (ACHI_LNC004372)". The record is from RNAcentral. Lineage: Eukaryota; Viridiplantae; Streptophyta; Magnoliopsida; Ericales; Actinidiaceae.